Molecule: long non-coding RNA, 218 nt
Organism: Poecilia reticulata (guppy)
Lineage: Eukaryota; Metazoa; Chordata; Actinopteri; Cyprinodontiformes; Poeciliidae
Source: RefSeq, a predicted model, not a curated record
CGCGCCCGCUUCGGAUGUUAUCAACCCAUGUUCAUUCUUCAGAUCAUCACUACGCAGUGGUGAAUUCAUGAUGAGCUGCGUCCUUGUGUGGCCCGGCAGAUUGGCGAGGACUGCUAAGGAGAUCAACAAGACUCUGCAAAACAUCCACAAACCUCCAGUCAGGAGACGCGCAAAAUGUGAAGUGUAGGACUUCUAGAAUAAAUAUUUCCCACACUGGC